Acromyrmex echinatior (Panamanian leafcutter ant) is the source of this 315-nucleotide long non-coding RNA. Lineage: Eukaryota; Metazoa; Arthropoda; Insecta; Hymenoptera; Formicidae. The record is from RefSeq and is a predicted model, not a curated record.
ACAUCGCAAGACCUUUACGUCGAGUUGCGAGAAACUUACAUCAAAUCUCUCAAUGAACGGUGUGAUUCUAUUUAUUGACAUAAGUAGGGGAUACCUGGAGACCAAGGUUAAUAUCGAAUCAUCAUCUUGCUUUUUGGCUCAUGAUUCAAAUAUUUACUCAAAUAUAUUGAAGACACUUGUUCACGAUUCAAAUAUUCAAUCAAAUAUUGAAGAUGUUUGAUUAUUGAUAUUUAUACUUUUGGAUAAUAGCCUCACAAUGUUUUGCAAAUUUGAUGUGCAUCUCAAUUUUUUUAUUCUACUGUAAACAAUUUUGAU